RNAcentral lists this ribosomal RNA (322 nucleotides) under uncultured bacterium. RNAcentral's name for it is "bacterial SSU rRNA". It matches the Rfam family "Bacterial small subunit ribosomal RNA", at positions 1166 to 1488 of the family's 1533-position model. The record is from RNAcentral.
GAGGAAGGUGGGGAUGACGUCAAGUCCUCAUGGCCCUUAUGUCCUGGGCUACACACGUGCUACAAUGGCGGUGACAGUGGGAAGCCAGGCAGCGAUGCCGAGCUGAUCCUCAAAAGCCGUCUCAGUUCGGAUUGCACUCUGCAACUCGGGUGCAUGAAGGUGGAAUCGCUAGUAAUCGUGGAUCAGCAUGCCACGGUGAAUACGUUCCCGGGCCUUGUACACACCGCCCGUCACACCAUGGGAUUUGGUUUGACCUUAAGUUGGUGCGCUAACCGCAAGGAGGCAGCCAACCACGGUCGGGUUAGAGACUGGGGUGAAGUCG